Molecule: non-coding RNA, 8181 nt
Organism: Anas platyrhynchos (mallard)
Lineage: Eukaryota; Metazoa; Chordata; Aves; Anseriformes; Anatidae
Source: RefSeq, a predicted model, not a curated record
UAUCCUUAUCUCAACCCAUGAGUUGUUCUUUGCUUUACUUCUCCCCCUCCUCAUCUAAAAGAGGGGGAGUGAGAGAGCGGUUGUGGGGUUUAGCUGCCCAGCACGGUAAAACCACCACAGUUAAACACACAACACAGUUUAAAUGCUUAGAAGUUCUUUGCCAGCUUUCUCCACAAGAUGUCAGUGUGGGUUCUUAAUUCAAUUGUACUGGCACUCUCCUCUGCCUUAUCGCAUUGCUGAAAAAAAAUGGAGACAGGGUUGGGCAACUCCUUCUGCAUACGUUUAUUUUGAAGCUGAAUUCGGUUUGCAUCAUGUACAAAUACCGUUAUUAACCUGGAUUUUACCUUUGCCGUUUAAACGGACUUUGGGAUCAGGCUGUUGUUUCUAGUCCUUCCUUACAGGAGGAGUGCUAUAUGUCAGACGUAUCUAUUGAACCGCAGAUACCAGUGAAGCUGGCCUGACAGCUGACACUAACAGAGCUGAUGGGUUUGUUGCUGAGUGUGAUUCUGGAGCAGAAACAGGAUGCUAAUGGCAUGGGGUAGUAAGCUAAGACUGCUCAGGAACAAGGCUUGUUAGGCUAGGAUCAUUGCAGUAUAAAUUACAGCAUAAUAUAUUUUUUAGCCUGAGUUAAUAGUUCUGCAUUGACUUGCCUUGCACCAUGUGGGUAUAGCAUGUAGUCGUGUUUAAUUGAUUAUCUCAGCCUAAGGCAUGUUGUUUGGCAAUAGGUGCGGUGUAUUCAUGUCCCUCUGAAACUGUUUAAGGCCUAUUUAGGGUUGGUGAUUUUGUUUAGGUCAUUUACUGUCUCUUGCUGCAUACUCAUCCCAAAGUGGGGGGAAAAAAAAAGCUGGCAGAAUUCGGUAACCUUUGAGUGCCCAAAUGGUUCUUGCUUACAUCCCAUUGGAUUUCAUCUGAGUUGUCAGCUUUCACUGAGAAGAAUGCAACCAAGCUUAAUGCUAUGGAAAGGUAGCAUUCCAUUUUAAGCAAAGUCAGACAUAACCUUUUCCAGGGGAAAACACAUUUUCGUUAGAUUGAUGUUACUUUCAACUGAAUGGCUUCAGCAUCAUUGGUUGAUUACGAGGUGGCUAAAGCAUCUUGAAGAACUCAGAAGAAUAUGAUGUAUUUCAUGAGGUUUGAUAAGAUUAAGCUAGAAUGAAGGUGAAAAUGAAGAAUGAGUGAAGAUGGAUGUUCUUACUGACAAUUAUUUCCUUAUUCAAUAAGAAAGAUCACUUCAACAUACAUUUUUUUUUCCUGAAUGCCUCAUUUGAUAACUUUCCCUAACUGUUCUCCAAUUUCUCUAAUUCUCUCAUUUGUUAUUGAAUGGAGUGUAAACUGAAAAGUAGCGUGCUUGGCCCAUGGUUUCCAAGAGAUAUGCGUAAAAGAGAUGUAGAAAUUUCUGACCCCUUCGGCCAUUUCUUGCCAAUGGCUUUUCUGCCUCUGUCCAAUGUCUGCUCUCCUAAUCUAGUUUACUUUCCAGAGUACACUUUGUGGGCCUGCCACAUCAUAUCAGUCUUCUUAAUUUAUUGUUGCUUGUGGCCUCAUUCAUUCUCCUUCUCUUUCAGAACCUCAGAUCCUUGUUACUGGCAUCUGCCAUUCUCUGGCAUCUUGCCUUAUCACUCUAUGGGUUUUUCCACAGGUAGCUUCUUCCUGCCUAUUGUCAUACCUAAUGGCCUUCACUCCAUCAAUUCCCAACAUUUAGCCCCUUAUUGUCUUUCUCCUACCACCAGUCUUUCUGUACAACACCCUUAUUUCUCUCCUAGGAUCUGAAAUAUUUAUCUUCCUUUUGUGGGCCUGUCUGGGUACCAACACAGGUGUCUAAUUACUUUCCAGUUAGAAACAGCUAGCUGUAGAUUUUUUCUAAAGAAGAGCCCAGAUUUCUCUCAGUGGUAUGACUGUUAUCUUUUCUUAUCCCCAGCACAGUCUUUGCUCCCCUGUCUUCCCACUAAUCUUUUCUUAUCUCCUGAUUUAGUUGUUCCUCUUACUGCUUCAGACUGUAAAUUCUGAUAGCAUACUCUUCUGCCAUUCUUCUGCCAGUGUGAAAUAUCUGUCGCACUGCAGAAAUUACAGAGACUCCUUCUAAGGUGUGUUACCAGCAGUAGGCCAAGGAUAAAUCCUAAUAUCAUUUUUUUUUCCUUUCUUUUCUUUUAAGAAAUGUUAUAAAGUCCCAUUUCUAAUCCAUCAUAAACAGCUUGAUGAAUAGUUUUCUCAUUGAUGAUAAAUGACAAUUGAAAAUGUUCUUCCACCCUGAGAAAAGUACUCUAUUUUAGGACAGGAGAGAAUCCCACAUGCCACAACAGAAUGAGAAAUCACAGCAGAAAAAUUUGGGGGCAAGAAUUGGAACUGGAGAUCUUUUGGUUCAGAAGGUAUUAAAAUCCCAGAAAGAAAAGAGCUAACUUUAAAAUUCUUUGCCCUGAGUUUCCAGAGUAAUAGUGUUAUAUUUAUAGUUUUAUGCUUUACUUAUGCAAUCACAUAUUUUACAAAAGUGAACAGCUGGAUGCUAUUGCUUUUGGUUUCUGACAGAUGCCAAAUGAGGUCAGUUACAGAGUUUGAGCUGAUUCGUGUGGGGUGCAUGCUAGAACUAAGAUCUCUCUACAGAGCACUUAGAUUAAAGGGCCAUAUGCAACUUUAAGAGGAUUUUAUUCUCUUUGCAGUAGGAGCUGCUGUCUUCAUUGUCCAUAGUUCAGGCUAGCAGUGCCUAAUGUGGAAAGAAAAAUGUGCAAAUGGUGUCCUGGUGGUAUUGUACUUUUUUUUUUUUUGUGGUUGGUUCUUGUCUGUUUGUUUUUUAGUGGUUGGUUGUUUUUUUGUUUGUACUGUUUUGUUUUGUUUUUGUUUUUCACCUAUAUGUGCAGAAUUGACUGAGUUCAGAUUUUGGGAGUUAUUGAAAUCAAACUUGUGACAGAGAAAUCUCCAGUAAGACAUUUGCAAGCAUUCAUACAAAUGCAAAUUUUGUCCUUCUAAUACUUAUUUUUUAGUCCCAGAAUCUCUUUUGUUUUGAAGAGGAGGGGAAAGUUUAAGAGAGGAGAGAUUAUUUUGGUUUAUGGUUUUUAUCUGUCAGUGUCUAUAUAUUAUUAAAAGAAACAUUUCCUAUAAAAAUUCUUUUGUUUUGCUGGAUGACUCCAGCUAAAAUGAGAUAUCCAAUAAUAAAUGCUGGAAGCUGAGCCCUUGGGGUCCAUACCAGCAAUGACUGAAAAUCUUUUUCUUCUCUCUGGAGAACUGUGGCCAAUAUUCCCCUUUUAUACAGAAAUGUUUUGGGAGGGAGACUCAAGUGACGUCUUAUUAGUUCUUAUUUCUCUAACCUGAGAAACAGAAGAAAAUGCUCGAGGUGUGGUUACCAGUUAAUCCACAGCAUUAACUGGAGAAAGAAUUGUUUUUGUUGUUGCACUUAAGGUCUUUUUCCUUGUGGUAGACUCCAGACUGUACUGAAUAGCACAGAGUCAAAGGUGUCAGAUCAAAUGCUAUUUUCUGUAAUCUUGAACAGUGUUUUUCAAUAUGCUAACUCAGGAAGGAGGAUCAUGGAAGAUACCUGUCUCCUCUACUGAAAGCUCCUCUUCACGGAACGCACAUUGGAAUCUGAAGCACAGACUGUGACCAUCAAAUUCGUGUCUGUACCAUUCAUCUGCUGGCCAAACUUGGGCAAAUAAUUUCUUUAUGCCUCAGUCUGUAAACAAAUACAACAGUGCUGUCUUUCCCUUGUUUUGGGCAAAGAGAGAAGAAACAACAGUACAACAGAUGCUGUCAUUGCUGUUAUCCUGGAUACCAAUAAAACCACAAAGAUGAAGAGAACAUCAUGGUGGCAUUUUGGUGACUUGCAGAUGCCAGAGUAAGUGCUGAGCAGAGAAGGGAAGGUAGGAAAAAUGGGAAAAUGUCAAACUGAUGAUCAGAUUUAUACCAUUGAAACUAUUCUCAAAUGCAGAAUUUUCCAAAAUGUAUCUGACCAAAGAAUUGGCAGAAUAAAGAUCUUGGAAAGAACUGAAGAUUUAGUUUUGCAAUGUAAAAAAAGUCAUAUAUUUUUUUUAAUUUUGAUUGUAAACUUUUAUAAAAGGAAAUUGUCAUCUGGUAUUCACAAUAAGAUUGUUUUAAAAUGUAAUAAGAUUCAAUUAGAUUUAUUUUGAAUGGGUAACCACUUUUAUAAAGAUGCCACAAAAUGUUUAAUCUCAUGGAGGGAGGCAGAAUUCAAGCAAAAAUUUCAUAUUAUUCUAAUGAAUUUUCUAAAGAUUCUAAUAAUACAGACCAGCCUGUCUAUCUCUAAUUAUAGGCCUUCAUAUACUGUGACUGUUCCCACUCAGCAGUGCAAUUGGUACCUUGAUGGAACACAUUUAGUCUCGCUAUUUUUUUUCCUCAGGAAGGUGGACAGUGAAAUCCAUGCAGCAAGGGCAAAUAGGUAGAAUUUACUUCAAGCCAUGAACAAAGCAGUAGACUUUUUCACUUAAUGUGUGACUUUCUUAUCAACAGCUGCAAGAUUUAUCAAUUAAGCAUGACAGCUACAAUAAGUGAAGCCAGUGUUAAGCAAGACGCCCUUGAUUCUAUUUUUUUUCCUGCUGGUUCUUGAUGUUAUACCAGCAUAUUGUUAAGAUGUCAUCAGGCAAUAAUACAGCAAAUGGAACUUUUAGGACCUCUUGUUAUUAAAGUUGUCUGACAUUUCCUGUUCUAAUUACUAAACAUUUUAAAACUAAUUUUAACUCUUUUGGAGCCUGAAUUUGCCUAUUAGGGAACAAUCUACCUUAGGAAGAUUUAAUCUGGAAAGUUUACAAAUGCAGUGAGCAUUACUGAUAACUAGUUUGCUAGCAUGUUCACUGUAAAGAAACAGAAGAAACUGCAUGAUGAGUAGUGAGGGAAAAGAGGGACAAAACGUUAUUAUUUCUGUGGUAGACAUGCUUCUGUCCCUUUACUCCAGGCUUGUGUUCUUUCUUAGUAUUAAAGGUAAAAUUUGAAGUAUUCAAUAAACAUCUAAUUAUGGAGUUGUCUCAUUUCAUAAUUAGUUCCAAUUUUAUUUAUUUGGUAGAACUCUAUAUAAGAUAAGGGGCUAUUUCCUAUAAAUUAUUAUUUCAUAAACUCAUCACAGGAAUGGAGAACACUGUAUGCUACCUUACCACAGUGGAAGAAUUAUAGAUUAAAAUCAUAUAAGCAUUAAGGUUGGAAAAGACUUCCAAGAUCAUCUAGUCUAACUGUCCCCCUAUCACCAAUAUCACCCACUAAUCCUUGUCCCUAAGUACCACGUCCAACCUUUGCUUAAACACCCCCCGCGAUGGGGACUUCACUACCUGCCUGGGCAACCCAUUCUAAUGCCUAACCACUCUUUCCAAGAAGAAAAUUUUCCUAAUUUCCAAGUUGAACCUCCCCUGGCACAACUUGAGGCCAUUCUUUCUUGUCCUAUUGCUAGUUAUCUGUGAGAAGAAACCGAACCCCAGCUCACCACAGUUUCCUAUAUUAGAAGGAAUAAGGGGUUACAAUUAAGAAGAUACAAUAUCUUGAAUAUGCAGCAAAUUUCUACUUUUUUCCCACUAUGAUAACGUAGAGAAUUUAUGGAUAUUCAUUAAACAUUUAGCUGGACAAUUCAUUAGAGAAUGUCGUGUAGGAGGGAAAUGAAUGCACAAUGUAACAAUCUAUUUCUACCUUCAACUUCUCUAAGUCCUUCGUGCUAUGUUAAGGAAUUUUAAAUUAAUCUCUUUCUGCCUUCCAAUUACCCUUUUUUUUUUUUUCUUUCAUAUUUCUUAUGAAAGAAAUGUGUCUUCAGGUAUUACAGGAUCUUAGUGGGGAAAAGUAUUUCUGAUGGAUGGCUACAAACUCUAUAGGUGACACUGUUAGUAACCUUUAAGUUAACAUGUGUAUUGGGUUUAUGUGGCAAGGUUUUGGUAGCAGGGGGCUGCAGGGCUGGCUUCUGUGUGAAGAAUCCAGAAGCUGCCCCAUGUUAGAUAAGAGCUGGUUUCAGCUGGGUCCGAAGGGACCCACCACUGGCUACAGCCAAGCCAGUAAGUGAUGUUGUUUGUGCCUCUGUGUGAGCAGAUUUAAGAAAGGAAAAAAACAAACAAACACUGCUGCACAACAGCAGCUGGAAGAGUGAGGAGUGAGAAACAGCCUUGCAGACCCCAAGGUCAGUGCAGCUGGAGGUGCUCCAGGCAGGCAGCAGCAGUUCCCCUGCGGUCUGUGGAGAGGCGCCUGGUGGAGCAGUGUGUCUCCCUGCAGCCCAUGGGUCCCACAUGGAGCAGAUCGCCACUCUGCAGCCCAUGGAGGAGCCCCCGGUGGAGCAGGUGGAUGCGGCCCAGAGGAGGCUGUGGCCCAUGGUGAGCCCCCACAGGAGCAGCCCCAGGCUGGAGCUGCAGCCCAUGGAGAGGAGCCCACGUAGGAGCAGGGUGUCUGGGGGGAGCUGCCACCUGUGGGAGACUCAUGCUGGAGCAGUUUGCUCCUGACGGAUGGGCCCCAUGGUAUUGAGCCAUAUUGGAGCAGUUCUUGAAGAGCUGCUGCCUGUGGGAAGCCUAUGCAGGAUCAUUUUGGGAAGGACAGCAUCCUGUGAGAGGGACCCAAUGUGGAGCAGGGACCGAGUGACUAUGAAGGAGUGGCAGAGACAAAGCAUUAGGGACUGACCAUAGUUCCUAUUCCCCAUUCCCCUGUGCUGCUUGGGGGGAGGAGGUAAAAGAGGGAGGAUAUGGAAGAAAGGUGUUUUUUAGUUUGCUUUUUUGGUUUAGUUUCUCACCGCUCUAGCUUGUUAGUAACAGGUAAUCAGUUUCUCUAAUCAUGUGCUGAUUCUGUUUUGCCAUGACAAUAAUUGUUGAGUGAUCUCCCUGGCCUUAUCUCAACUCUUGAACCCUUUGUAUUGUAUUUUCUCCCCCUUUCCCUUCAGAAAGUGACAGAGCACUUGUGGCAGAGCUUAGCUACUCAGCUGUGUAAAACCACCACAGCAUUUUACAAUUUACGGCCGUAGCACACAAGAACAGAGAUUUUUAGGGUCUCAGAAAAGGUGAAGUAGCAGAACUAUUGUCCAGUUAAGCUUUGUUAUUUCCAGUAUCUCCUCGGUGAACUGAAAGUCUCUGGCUGAGCUAUAAUGCUAGGUUUCACUAGAUGGAAUCUUGACCACUGUGAUACAAAUGAAAACACCUUACAUUGAAAACAGAGCACCAGAUUAUUUCUGGUUGAACAAAAUAAUCUGUGAAGCUGUUGUGAUGCUUGAUGUCCAUGUAGAACUCCAGGAGUUUAAAAGGGUCCGUCUCAUAAUGGCCAUGAAUUAUUCAGACCCUGGGAUUAGUCAGGCAUGUAACACAGUAUGCCAUAAAAUUACUUUUCCAAGCUAAAAUGGAUAUUAGUGAUGAAUUUGCCUCUAGGAUAUGUGUUUUCAUCAAGAGUUACUGAGAAAGCUGUCUGAAUAAUCAAUCCAGAAUUACCACAGCCAAACAUACAUACACUUAAUUUUUAUGUCAGUGUCCCUAGACAAAUAGCAAGGCAAAACAAACAAACAAACAAAACAAAACAAAACAAACAAACAAACAAAAAAACACACGAAGCUUUAUUGUUUACAAGCAAGGCUUUGAAAGAUGUUCUUUUUGUUUCUCUGCUGACUGUCAUAAGGUGAGAAAGUGAGUUUUUCCUUCUCUCUUCUAUCAUAUGCAAAUGAAUCAUUUCACUGGCUUUACACAAGAGUUUCUUACCUGCUUGUUUAUUUUCUGCUUACCUCCUCCAACUCUCAAGAACAUCACCAUCUCUAUAGCCUUCCCCUAUUUGUAGACUUGUCACCACUUUGUCUUCUCACAUCAGUUGAAGUGUUUAUAGAUAUUCAUCAUAUUCAUCGCGGCGUGUGUAUCUGAAUGAAGAAGUGAGAAGAUAGCUGUGAAAGCAUAUAGAUAUGUUGCUGAAGUAAGAAAUCCUUAAAAGAAUAACCUUUGGGGACCUAAGAUUGAAUCCUUUCCAAUCCAGGCAUGGUUUAUGGCCCAUCAGAAGUUUCCAUCAAAGUGUGACCUGGGGUUUCUUAAUACAAUGUUGCUUGACUGUGAUUAAUAUUCCCAAACUGAGUAAUGACUGCAGAACAGAAAUUGUAUUGCAAAUCUGUUAGGACACACUUUCUUACUAGAUUCUCUACCUGUCUGUGUUAAGUGAUUGAUUUGAUGGAAAAUUAACAGCAUCUGUUUUUACCAUUUCUGUCUCAGGCUGUGUGUAAAGUUAUGCAAAAUUAAUCUAAUAAAAAUUAAAAAGAUA